Molecule: ribosomal RNA, 430 nt
Filed under: uncultured bacterium
Lineage: Bacteria
Description: bacterial SSU rRNA
Rfam family: Bacterial small subunit ribosomal RNA
Source: RNAcentral
GUGGGGAAUAUUGCACAAUGGGCGAAAGCCUGAUGCAGCGACGCCGCGUGAGGGAUGACGGCCUUCGGGUUGUAAACCUCUUUCAGCAGGGAAGAAGCGCAAGUGACGGUACCUGCAGAAGAAGCACCGGCUAACUACGUGCCAGCAGCCGCGGUAAUACGUAGGGUGCGAGCGUUGUCCGGAAUUAUUGGGCGUAAAGAGCUCGUAGGCGGCCUGUCGCGUCGGAUGUGAAAGCCCGGGGCUUAACCCCGGGUCUGCAUUCGAUACGGGCAGGCUAGAGUGUGGUAGGGGAGAUCGGAAUUCCUGGUGUAGCGGUGAAAUGCGCAGAUAUCAGGAGGAACACCGGUGGCGAAGGCGGAUCUCUGGGCCAUUACUGACGCUGAGGAGCGAAAGCGUGGGGAGCGAACAGGAUUAGAAACCCUAGUAGUCC